Molecule: ribosomal RNA, 119 nt
Filed under: Lepisosteus oculatus (spotted gar)
Lineage: Eukaryota; Metazoa; Chordata; Actinopteri; Semionotiformes; Lepisosteidae
Source: RNAcentral
GCCAGCAGCCAUAUCACCCUGCAACUCGUAACUGGCAACCCACUGAAGCUAAGCACGUGUGAGCCUGGUCGGUACCCGGAUGGGAGACCUCCUGGGAAAAACUAAGGUUGCUACUGGAA